Molecule: ribosomal RNA, 465 nt
Filed under: uncultured bacterium
Lineage: Bacteria
Description: partial 16S ribosomal RNA
Rfam family: Bacterial small subunit ribosomal RNA
Source: RNAcentral
GACGAACGCUGGCGGCGUGCUUAACACAUGCAAGUCGAACGGAAAGGCCCUGCUUGCAGGGUACUCGAGUGGCGAACGGGUGAGUAACACGUGGGUGAUCUGCCCUGCACUUCGGGAUAAGCCUGGGAAACUGGGUCUAAUACCGGAUAGGAGCCAUUUUUAGCGUGAUGGUUGGAAAGUUUUUUCGGUGUAGGAUGAGCUCGCGGCCUAUCAGCUUGUUGGUGGGGUAAUGGCCUACCAAGGCGGCGACGGGUAGCCGGCCUGAGAGGGUGGACGGCCACAUUGGGACUGAGAUACGGCCCAGACACCUACGGGAGGCAGCAGUGGGGAAUAUUGCACAAUGGGCGCAAGCCUGAUGCAGCGACGCCGCGUGGGGGAUGACGGCCUUCGGGUUGUAAACUCCUUGCGCUAGGGACGAAGCUUUUUGUGACGGUACCUAGAUAAGAAGCACCGGCUAACUACGUG